CCUACGGGUGGCUGCAGUGAGGAAUAUUGGUCAAUGGACGCAAGCCUGAACCAGCCAUGCCGCGUGCAGGAAGACUGCCCUACGAGUUGUAAACUGCUUUUGUACGAGGGUAAACGCAGAUACGCGUACCUGUCUGAAAGUAUCGUACGAAUAAGGAUCGGCUAACUCCGUGCCAGCAGCCGCGGUAAUACGGAGGAUUCAAGCGUUAUCCGGAUUUAUUGGGUUUAAAGGGUGCGUAGGCGGUCGGUUAAGUUAGUGGUGAAAUUCCGAGGCUCAACUGCAGAAUUGCAUCUGAUACUGUUCGGCUAGAGAGGAGUUGCGGUAGGCGGAAUGUAUGGUGUAGCGGUGAAAUGCUUAGAGAUCAUACAGAACACCGAUUGCGAAGGCAGCUUACCAAGCUACUUCUGACGUUGAGGCACGAAAGCGUGGGGAGCAAACAGGAUUAGAUACCCGGGUAGUC
This 460-nucleotide ribosomal RNA is filed under the name uncultured bacterium. RNAcentral describes it as "partial 16S ribosomal RNA". It matches the Rfam family "Bacterial small subunit ribosomal RNA", at positions 338 to 795 of the family's 1533-position model. The record is from RNAcentral.